GACAGAGGUGCCGAGCGUUAGGCGGAAUCACUGGGCUUAAAGCGUGUGUAGGUGGAUGCCUAAGUACCUUGUGAAAUCCCACGGCUUAACCGUGGAACUGCUUGGUAUACUGGGUGUCUUGAGUCACUCAGGGGCGAGCGGAACAAAUGGUGGAGCGGUGAAAUGCGUAGAUAUCAUUUGGAACGCCAAUGGUGAAAACAGCUCGCUGGGGGUGCACUGACACUGAGACACGAAAGCCAGGGGAGCGAACGGG
RNAcentral lists this ribosomal RNA (253 nucleotides) under uncultured bacterium. RNAcentral's name for it is "partial 16S ribosomal RNA". It matches the Rfam family "Bacterial small subunit ribosomal RNA", at positions 524 to 776 of the family's 1533-position model. The record is from RNAcentral.